CAAGUCGAGCGGGCAUCCUUCGGGAUGUUAGCGGCGGACGGGUGAGUAACGCGUGGGAACGUGCCCUUUGCUACGGAAUAGCCUCGGGAAACUGAGAGUAAUACCGUAUGUGCCCUUCGGGGGAAAGAUUUAUCGGCAAAGGAUCGGCCCGCGUUGGAUUAGGUAGUUGGUGGGGUAAUGGCCUACCAAGCCGACGAUCCAUAGCUGGUUUGAGAGGAUGAUCAGCCACACUGGGACUGAGACACGGCCCAGACUCCUACGGGAGGCAGCAGUGGGGAAUCUUAGACAAUGGGGGAAACCCUGAUCUAGCCAUGCCGCGUGAGCGAUGAAGGCCUUAGGGUUGUAAAGCUCUUUCAGUGGGGAAGAUAAUGACGGUACCCACAGAAGAAGCCCCGGCUAACUCCGUGCCAGCAGCCGCGGUAAUACGGAGGGGGCUAGCGUUGUUCGGAAUUACUGGGCGUAAAGCGCACGUAGGCGGAUUGGAAAGUCAGAGGUGAAAUCCCAGGGCUCAACCUUGGAACUGCCUUUGAAACUCCCAGUCUUGAGGUCGAGAGAGGUGAGUGGAAUUCCGAGUGUAGAGGUGAAAUUCGUAGAUAUUCGGAGGAACACCAGUGGCGAAGGCGGCUCACUGGCUCGAUACUGACGCUGAGGUGCGAAAGCGUGGGGAGCAGACAGGAUUAGAUACCCUGGUAGUCCACGCCCUAAACGAUGAAUGCCAGACGUCGGGCAGCAUGCUGUUCGGUGUCACACCUAACGGAUUAAGCAUUCCGCCUGGGGAGUACGGCCGCAAGGUUAAAACUCAAAGGAAUUGACGG
This 815-nucleotide ribosomal RNA is filed under the name uncultured bacterium. RNAcentral's name for it is "bacterial SSU rRNA". It matches the Rfam family "Bacterial small subunit ribosomal RNA", at positions 58 to 916 of the family's 1533-position model. The record is from RNAcentral.